GAAUCGAAACGCUGCUGGGUUUGGGUGAUAUUAAAGGGUUUCUGUUUGGUUUUCAGGUGUGAUGAUGUUGUGGCAGUUAAGUUUCAAAAGCGUUCUUCCUUUAGACUUUGCGCUCAAAGGUCUGUGGAUAAAAUGAUAUAAUGUCUGAGAUCGGCUUCCAAAUAACCAGGGCAGGCAGGCGGGUCACCGGUGGCACAGGAGUGGUCACAGCUCCGUUACUGCUCAAGCGUGAAGGACGCAGGGACGUCACUGUCCUGUUCUGUCUAUGUUGGGGAAUACUUGAGAUAUUCCAGAAUCAUGUUUUUAAAAUUAAUAGGAAUUAAGCUAUGCAGGAGCUCUAAGGAAAGUUCUUGGGGGUCAAUUUUCUCAUCCCCUCCUGGCAGGCAGAAGCGGGGUGGGGGGGCGGGGGGAGGGAAUCUCUCCCCUGGGGUCCCAAACCGGUCCUUCUGGUGCCAGAAUUACAGGGACACGGGAGGGAGUGGCUCGUCACAGCGCUGAGGCCGCUGUUGCUGGGACAACUCUGUUACCUUUCCUGAGGCCCCUGUUGCUGGGACAACUCUGUUGCCUUCCCGGCUGAGCAAGGCCUUAGCCCGAGGCUGGCCUUUUGGGCAGGCCAUCUCAAGGUGGCCCCACAGUAAAAUAGAGUUGGUGUCGAGACGCUUCGCCAAGCGCCCAGGAAGCUCUCCCGGUCCCCUGCCACGGUGAGCAUCUCACAGACCGGGGACCCAGGCCUGGCCGAAGAAGAAUAACCAAGCCUAGAAGCCAGACUCUUGAUUGAUUGAUAUUCUGGCAAUGCGAGGGCGUCAGGACGCUAGGUGCAAGUUCACGUCCUACCUGCGCCGCCUCUGAAUCAUCUCAAGGAAACGGCACUUCAUGUAGGCGGCCCCUGGGACAGAGAAGGUUCGAGAUAACCAAGGCUGCAUCUCCCAGUGAUCCAAAAAAACUUCUUCUGAUGGCAACCUUUGUAAACACGCUUAGUUCCCUUCUGAUGUUUCCGAUAUAAAGUGGCCAUGACUCUGGUGCAACAGCUCAGGGCUGUGCUGAGAGAAGAUCUUUCUACGCAUGGGACCUUGGAAGACAAGUUGGAGGAGUUCUGACUUGCCACCUCCCAUGAGCCUGUGUGACAGUGUGCUGUCCUUGCACGGAGGUGAGCUACUCCAACAAUGGCAGAUGAAGGGGGAGAGAGAAGCAGGCAGCAGGACCAGCCUGCACGUUGCUGGAGCAGGAGCAGAGCCAUCAGAGGCUGAGCUGGCGGAGGGAUCGCGUCGCGCGGAGCCCACGCCCUUUUUGCUUGACUUCAAGAUCCUUUUGUGCGGAGCACUCCAGACAGCCACUGACAAUCGAGCCACAGGGGACCACGUGAUAAAGUCUACACAAGAUCUCCCAUCUGUGGGAGGAGGAGGAGGAGGAGAGAGGAUGAGGAAGGCUUGGGUGUCAAAAGCCAGGCUGCAAAAACCUCUGGCCGUUUGGUGAUAUUCAGAACCCCUCAUUCAUUGGUUUACAUGCGGCCACGCUUUCUAAAGAGUCCUUAUCUUUUAAAGAAACAUACUAAAAUAUCUGUGGAUGGAUGGGUGCAAUGUCUGAAAUUUAUUUCUUUUUAUUUUGGAGAGAGAGAGAGAGCAUGAGCUGGGGAGAGGGGCAAAGGGAAAGAGAAGGAGAGAGAAUCAGCACG
This is a long non-coding RNA of Panthera uncia (snow leopard), 1672 nucleotides long. RefSeq lists it as uncharacterized. The record is from RefSeq and is a predicted model, not a curated record. Lineage: Eukaryota; Metazoa; Chordata; Mammalia; Carnivora; Felidae. The transcript is spliced from 4 exons.